Molecule: long non-coding RNA, 350 nt
Filed under: Ananas comosus (pineapple)
Lineage: Eukaryota; Viridiplantae; Streptophyta; Magnoliopsida; Poales; Bromeliaceae
Description: long non-coding RNA (ACOM_LNC020022)
Source: RNAcentral
UGUAUGUACGUAUAGGUAUAAAAUAGUACAUCUAUAAAUAUAUUAAGGGCGUGUUUGGUUCGAAGUCGGAUUCGGAAUCGGAAUCGAAAUAAAAAUAAGCUAGAAUAGGAAUCAGAAUGGCUCAUUACCUAAUUCUGUUUGGUUCAUCACCUGAAUCGGAAUCGGAAUAAAUCAUUCCCAUUGUCGGUGUUUGGUUCAGGUGGAUAUAAAAAACAUAAUCAAAUUAAUAUACUAACAUUAUCUUUAUAAUAUAUUAAUUUAAAUUCAAAUUAAAAAUUAAAUAUUAAAAAUUUAUAUCAAAAUUUUGAAAUAAUGUCAAAAUUUUAAAUCUAUUUUUUUUAAAAAAAAUU